RNAcentral lists this ribosomal RNA (254 nucleotides) under uncultured bacterium. RNAcentral describes it as "partial 16S ribosomal RNA". It matches the Rfam family "Bacterial small subunit ribosomal RNA", at positions 524 to 776 of the family's 1533-position model. The record is from RNAcentral.
GACGAACCGUGCGAACGUUAUUCGGAAUCACUGGGCUUAAAGCGCGUGUAGGCGGGAGGGCACGUCCGUUGCUGAAAUCCCCCGGCUCAACCGGGGAACGGGCGCGGAUACGACUCUCCUUGAGGGGCGUAGGGGGACCUGGAACUUCCGGUGGAGCGGUGAAAUGCGUUGAGAUCGGAAGGAACGCCCGUGGCGAAAGCGAGGUCCUGGACGCUUACUGACGCUGAGACGCGAAAGCCAGGGGAGCGAACGGG